ACCUAUGGCCAUACCAGUCUGAAAGUUCCUGAUCUUGUCAGAUCUCAGAAGUGAUGCAGACUUGGGCCUGAUUAGUACUUGUAUGGGAGACCAACUAGGAACCUCAGGUGCCAUAAGCU
RNAcentral lists this ribosomal RNA (119 nucleotides) under Pelobates cultripes (western spadefoot toad). Lineage: Eukaryota; Metazoa; Chordata; Amphibia; Anura; Pelobatidae. The record is from RNAcentral.